Molecule: ribosomal RNA, 1705 nt
Filed under: Escherichia coli
Lineage: Bacteria; Pseudomonadati; Pseudomonadota; Gammaproteobacteria; Enterobacterales; Enterobacteriaceae
Description: partial 23S ribosomal RNA
Rfam family: Bacterial large subunit ribosomal RNA
Source: RNAcentral
GGGGAGCGUUCUGUAAGCCUGUGAAGGUGUACUGUGAGGUAUGCUGGAGGUAUCAGAAGUGCGAAUGCUGACAUAAGUAACGAUAAAGCGGGUGAAAAGCCCGCUCGCCGGAAGACCAAGGGUUCCUGUCCAACGUUAAUCGGGGCAGGGUGAGUCGACCCCUAAGGCGAGGCCGAAAGGCGUAGUCGAUGGGAAACAGGUUAAUAUUCCUGUACUUGGUGUUACUGCGAAGGGGGGACGGAGAAGGCUAUGUUGGCCGGGCGACGGUUGUCCCGGUUUAAGCGUGUAGGCUGGUUUUCCAGGCAAAUCCGGAAAAUCAAGGCUGAGGCGUGAUGACGAGGCACUACGGUGCUGAAGCAACAAAUGCCCUGCUUCCAGGAAAAGCCUCUAAGCAUCAGGUAACAUCAAAUCGUACCCCAAACCGACACAGGUGGUCAGGUAGAGAAUACCAAGGCGCUUGAGAGAACUCGGGUGAAGGAACUAGGCAAAAUGGUGCCGUAACUUCGGGAGAAGGCACGCUGAUAUGUAGGUGAAGCGACUUGCUCGUGGAGCUGAAAUCAGUCGAAGAUACCAGCUGGCUGCAACUGUUUAUUAAAAACACAGCACUGUGCAAACACGAAAGUGGACGUAUACGGUGUGACGCCUGCCCGGUGCCGGAAGGUUAAUUGAUGGGGUUAGCGCAAGCGAAGCUCUUGAUCGAAGCCCCGGUAAACGGCGGCCGUAACUAUAACGGUCCUAAGGUAGCGAAAUUCCUUGUCGGGUAAGUUCCGACCUGCACGAAUGGCGUAAUGAUGGCCAGGCUGUCUCCACCCGAGACUCAGUGAAAUUGAACUCGCUGUGAAGAUGCAGUGUACCCGCGGCAAGACGGAAAGACCCCGUGAACCUUUACUAUAGCUUGACACUGAACAUUGAGCCUUGAUGUGUAGGAUAGGUGGGAGGCUUUGAAGUGUGGACGCCAGUCUGCAUGGAGCCGACCUUGAAAUACCACCCUUUAAUGUUUGAUGUUCUAACGUUGACCCGUAAUCCGGGUUGCGGACAGUGUCUGGUGGGUAGUUUGACUGGGGCGGUCUCCUCCUAAAGAGUAACGGAGGAGCACGAAGGUUGGCUAAUCCUGGUCGGACAUCAGGAGGUUAGUGCAAUGGCAUAAGCCAGCUUGACUGCGAGCGUGACGGCGCGAGCAGGUGCGAAAGCAGGUCAUAGUGAUCCGGUGGUUCUGAAUGGAAGGGCCAUCGCUCAACGGAUAAAAGGUACUCCGGGGAUAACAGGCUGAUACCGCCCAAGAGUUCAUAUCGACGGCGGUGUUUGGCACCUCGAUGUCGGCUCAUCACAUCCUGGGGCUGAAGUAGGUCCCAAGGGUAUGGCUGUUCGCCAUUUAAAGUGGUACGCGAGCUGGGUUUAGAACGUCGUGAGACAGUUCGGUCCCUAUCUGCCGUGGGCGCUGGAGAACUGAGGGGGGCUGCUCCUAGUACGAGAGGACCGGAGUGGACGCAUCACUGGUGUUCGGGUUGUCAUGCCAAUGGCACUGCCCGGUAGCUAAAUGCGGAAGAGAUAAGUGCUGAAAGCAUCUAAGCACGAAACUUGCCCCGAGAUGAGUUCUCCCUGACCCUUUAAGGGUCCUGAAGGAACGUUGAAGACGACGACGUUGAUAGGCCGGGUGUGUAAGCGCAGCGAUGCGUUGAGCUAACCGGUACUAAUGAACCGUGAG